RNAcentral lists this ribosomal RNA (332 nucleotides) under uncultured bacterium. RNAcentral's name for it is "bacterial SSU rRNA". It matches the Rfam family "Bacterial small subunit ribosomal RNA", at positions 568 to 898 of the family's 1533-position model. The record is from RNAcentral.
CGCGUAGGCGGCCUGUUAAGUCUGGAGUGAAAGUCCUGCUUUCAAGGUGGGAAUUGCUUUGGAUACUGGCGGGCUGGAGUGCAGGAGAGGUUAGUGGAAUUCCCGGUGUAGCGGUGAAAUGCGUAGAGAUCGGGAGGAACACCAGUGGCGAAGGCGACUAACUGGACUGUAACUGACGCUGAGGCGCGAAAGUGUGGGGAGCAAACAGGAUUAGAUACCCUGGUAGUCCACACGGUAAACGAUGAAUGCUAGGUGUAGGGGGUAUCGACCCCUUCUGUGCCGGAGUAAACACAAUAAGCAUUCCGCCUGGGGAGUACGGCCGCAAGGUUGAA